CGGGAUGUAGCGCAGUCUGGUAGCGCGUCUGUUUUGGGUACAGAAGGUCGUGUGUUCGAAUCGCAUCAUCCCGA
RNAcentral lists this transfer RNA (74 nucleotides) under Trachydiscus minutus. RNAcentral's name for it is "tRNA-Pro". It matches the Rfam family "tRNA". From Rfam's summary of the family: Transfer RNA (tRNA) molecules are approximately 80 nucleotides in length. Their secondary structure includes four short double-helical elements and three loops (D, anti-codon, and T loops). Further hydrogen bonds mediate the characteristic L-shaped molecular structure. tRNAs have two regions of fundamental functional importance: the anti-codon, which is responsible for specific mRNA codon recognition, and the 3' end, to which the tRNAs corresponding amino acid is attached (by aminoacyl-tRNA synthetases). tRNAs cope with the degeneracy of the genetic code in two manners: having more than one tRNA (with a specific anti-codon) for a particular amino acid; and 'wobble' base-pairing, i.e. permitting non-standard base-pairing at the 3rd anti-codon position. The record is from RNAcentral. Lineage: Eukaryota; Eustigmatophyceae; Goniochloridales; Goniochloridaceae.